RNAcentral lists this long non-coding RNA (219 nucleotides) under Nicotiana benthamiana. RNAcentral describes it as "long non-coding RNA (NBEN_LNC040550)". The record is from RNAcentral. Lineage: Eukaryota; Viridiplantae; Streptophyta; Magnoliopsida; Solanales; Solanaceae.
UUUUUGCUCUUCACUCAAAUUUUGGAGCAGUUUUACUUUGGAUUUAUGGGUUCUUGAGCUGAAAUAUGACCUGAUAUUGAAGUUGUGUGUUGAUUAUUACUGUUGUUUAUUUACUGCUGAACUACAUGUCUUUACUUAGUAUUUUUGGAGCAAUUCUUAAGCGGCUAUGUAUACACUUCACCCUCUGCUUAAGUAUUUGUAAAUUUGAUUUAAUACAAA